Molecule: transfer RNA, 75 nt
Filed under: Oligosphaeraceae bacterium
Lineage: Bacteria; Pseudomonadati; Lentisphaerota; Oligosphaeria; Oligosphaerales; Oligosphaeraceae
Description: tRNA-Thr
Rfam family: tRNA
About the family: Transfer RNA (tRNA) molecules are approximately 80 nucleotides in length.
Source: RNAcentral
GCCAGCAUAGCUCAGGGGUAGAGCAGCUCAUUCGUAAUGAGCAGGUCGUGGGUUCAAAUCCCACCGCUGGCUCCA